UACGUAGGGGACGAGCGUUGUCCGGAAUUACUGGGCGUAAAGGGCGCGCAGGCUGUAGAUCAAGUCAGCUGUGAAAUGUCUGGGCUUAACCCGGGCAUGCGGUUGAAACUGAUGUACUGGAGUGCUGUAGAGGCAAGUGGAAUUCCCAGUGUAGCGGUGUAAUGCGUAGAUAUUGGGAAGAACACCGGUGACGAAGGCGACUUGCUGGGCAGCAACUGACGCUGAGGCGCGAAAGCCAGGGGAGCAAACGGGAUUAGA
Molecule: ribosomal RNA, 258 nt
Filed under: uncultured prokaryote
Description: partial 16S ribosomal RNA
Rfam family: Bacterial small subunit ribosomal RNA
Source: RNAcentral